Molecule: ribosomal RNA, 372 nt
Filed under: uncultured bacterium
Lineage: Bacteria
Description: partial 16S ribosomal RNA
Rfam family: Bacterial small subunit ribosomal RNA
Source: RNAcentral
CCUACGGGUGGCAGCAGUGGGGAAUAUUGGGCAAUGGGCGCAAGCCUGACCCAGCAACGCCGCGUGAAGGAAGAAGGCUUUCGGUUUGUAAAGCUCUUUUAUCAGGGACGAAGCAAGUGACGGUACCUGAGGAAUAAGCCACGGCUAACUACGUGCCAGCAGCCGCGGUAAUACGUAGGUGGCAAGCGUUAUCCGGAUUUACUGGGUGUAAAGGGCGUGUAGGCGGGUAAGUAAGUCAGAUGUGAAAACCCUGGGCUCAACCUGUGGCCUGCAUUGGAAACUGUUGUUCUUGAGUACAGGAGAGGCAAGCGGAAUUCCUAGUGUAGCGGUGAAAUGCGUAGAUAUUAGGAGGAACACCAGUGGCGAAGGCGG